This 206-nucleotide long non-coding RNA is filed under the name Ananas comosus (pineapple). Its description in RNAcentral is "long non-coding RNA (ACOM_LNC040528)". Lineage: Eukaryota; Viridiplantae; Streptophyta; Magnoliopsida; Poales; Bromeliaceae. The record is from RNAcentral.
UAGAGGGGGCAGAGCGGGACCGACUGAUGGAACGCCUCAACGAGUUCAGGAGGUGCGGUCCCCGGAUCUUUGACGGCGAGAAGGUCGACCACUGGAUCGUGGAAAAGUGGUUGAUGCAUAUGGAGAAGCUCUUCCGCGACACCUUCGUGGAGGAGAGAGAUCGAGUUUGGCUCGCCACUCACCAUCUGGACGGUGAGGCCUAUCGC